AUUGCUUUGCCCUGCUCCCCACAUGUUUUGUGAAAUUACAAUAUAUAUAUAUAUAUAUAUAUAUAUAUAUAUAUAUAUAUAUAUAUAAAUGAGUACUACAUUCUUUGACAAUUAUAUGGCAGCUGAAGAAUUAGGGGCAUUGAGGAAUGAAGGAUACCUCCAAAUUUUUAUAUUAAUAAGUACUGUCAUUUUUGUACUCCUCAAUACAAUCUUUAGAGAUGCUAAAAUAAAAAUUAUUGAGGAUAAAAUAGAAAAAAUUGAGGAUAAAAUGCAAGCCCAAUUAGAAGAUCUAAAAUGUUUCUUACAGGAUCAAUGGGCAAACACCCAAUCUACCAGAAACAGACCUGUUUCUGAACCUUGAAUGAGGACAUUUCCCUCCCUGACAUAGAGAUGGAAAACACCUUCCCUAUAGCCCAGUUAAUAGACUGCUUCUCUCAUGUAGUGCAAAUCUUGUCUGAAUUUAAUCCCCAAAACCCUUCCCCUGCAAUCCCAGUUUCUCAUGUUCCCUCUCCUACAGAAAACCAAAUUCCAACACAAAGGAGAUCUUGUCCUCCUAGAGAAACCUGUCCUUGUCAAACUGACCCACAGGUACAAAAUUCAACUAGAGGCCUGUUUCCUCUAAGAGAAGUACCUGAAAUAGGACGGAAUGGGGAUGUGGUGACUUUAAGACAUAGGAUACCGUUUACUCCCCAAGAAAUAAAUGAAUUUACACAAAAUAUCCCCACAUAUGAACAAGAUCCUUUUCUAGUAACAAAAAAGAUGGGAGCCAUAUUUUUUCAGUAUAAUUCGUCUUACAAGGACAUUGAGAACUUACUACAGGCUUUUUUAAGUGAACGUGAAAAAAAUAAAAUAAUUGCUCAUGUCAACAAAACCCGGGGGCGUAAUGCAGCACAUUGGCCAUCUCAGGAUCCCGAAUGGGACUAUAACAAUCCUGAGGAUUAUCUACAACUAUACCCUUGUAGAGAGGCUAUCCUCAUGGCAAUGAAGGAAUGUGCAGACAUUACAGAUAAGUGGAUGGAACUGGAAAAAAUUAAGCAAAAGGAAGAAGAAACACCCUCCAGAUUUAUGGAUAGAAUUAUUGAGUUUGGGGACAGAUACUUAGAUUGGGACUUAACUAAAGAUAGUAGUUUAAGACAAGUUAGAAGAAUCUUUGUAAAUAACUCUUGCAAUGUAAUUAAGAAUUAUUUUAGAACACAAUGCCCAAG
RNAcentral lists this long non-coding RNA (1205 nucleotides) under Monodelphis domestica (gray short-tailed opossum). RNAcentral describes it as "lncRNA (ENSMODG00000049332.1)". The record is from RNAcentral. Lineage: Eukaryota; Metazoa; Chordata; Mammalia; Didelphimorphia; Didelphidae.